AUUGAACGCUAGCGGGAUGCCUUACACAUGCAAGUCGAACGGAGUGGCGAACGGGUGAGUAAUGUAUCGGAACGUGCCCAGUAGCGGGGGAUAACUACGCGAAAGCGUAGCUAAUACCGCAUACUAUUGGAUCAGCCGAUAGCGGAUUAGCUAGUUGGUGGGGUAACGGAGCACCAAGGCGACGAUCCGUACCGGGUUUGAGAGGACGACCAGCCACACUGGGACUGACACACGGCCCAGAAGCCUACGGGAGGCAGCAGUGGGUAAUUUUGGACAAUGGGGGAAACCCUGAUCCAGCCAUCCCGCGUGUGCGAUGAAGGCCUGCGGGUUGUAAAGCACUUUUGGCAGGAAAGCGGUACCUGCAGAAUAAGCACCGGCUAACUACGUGCCAGCAGCCGCGGUAAUAC
RNAcentral lists this ribosomal RNA (407 nucleotides) under uncultured bacterium. Its description in RNAcentral is "partial 16S ribosomal RNA". It matches the Rfam family "Bacterial small subunit ribosomal RNA", at positions 30 to 526 of the family's 1533-position model. The record is from RNAcentral.